GGUUAUUACCCGUGUGUCACACGGAUUGAACGGUAAAAAAAGAAAACACAUAUAACUUUAUAUUCAAAACAGUUUAAAUAAAAUAAAUGCAAAAGUUUCCUUAACAAAUGAUAAAUGAACAAAAAAGACUACAAAUUUCCAAAAAUUUCUUUGUAUACAACAUUUGUGGUCUUAUUUGUAGCAUGGCCAUCUUUAUCUGUUAUCAGCAUCUUUAAACCGGCUCUACUUUUAACCCUUGAUAGUGCCACAUAAAGUUGACCAUGUGAGAAAACAGGAUCUUUGAGAUACAAUCCAACCUUGGAUAAUGAUUGUCCCUGACUUUUGUUAAUAGUCAUUGCAAAACAAACAGCAACCGGAAACUGUCUUCUUUUGAACUUGAAAGGAAUUUUCUUAUCAGAUGGUGACAGACUAAGGCGAGGGAUGAAAGUUCUUGUACCAAUAUUAGCACCAGAUAUAAUCUCAGCUUCAAUCACCCUAUUACCAAGAUAAAGUACUCGUAGUCUUGUACCAUUACACAAACCAUUCUUUUGGUCAAUAUUUCGAAGUAGCAUUAUUGGAACACCCACCUUCAAAACUAAUUGAUGAUUAGGAAACAAAGACAUCAAGCGAUCAUUGAUAGAUUGAACAACCUCAUUUGUAGGUGCUAAAAUGGCUCUAUCGUCAAAAUAGUUAGGCUCAUGGAAUCUAUCAAGAAUGGAAGGAUAGACAAAGUUAAUUAAAUCAAUAAUAGGAUCAGAAGAAUCACCAAUUAAAAGAUCUUCAGAGUCGAUCCCUAAAGAUAACCUCAUGUUCUUUGUCAACCUUAAGACUUUGACGUUUGACCAAAUAUAAGAAGAACAUAAUGACGCAUUAACAAUGUCAUGCCUGCUUCCAUUUUGUACCACAGGAAGAAUCUGCCUAAAGUCUCCACCAAAAACAACGACCUUACCUCCAAACAUGAUGUUUGAGCUGCUAUGAUUGCCAGAGAUCAAAAUGUCAUUCAUUGUUCUAUUUAGGGCUUCAAAGGCAUGUUUGUGAGUCAUUGGAGCUUCGUCCCAAAUAAUCAAGGAGGCUUUUUUUAGUAGCUCUGCAGCAUCACUAUUUGGCUUAAUAAAACACAUAGAGUCUUCGGAUAGAUUUAAAGGAAUAGAGAAACGGGAAUGUGCGGUCCUGCCUCCGGUUAGUAACAAAGAUGCAAUUCC
Molecule: long non-coding RNA, 1181 nt
Filed under: Helianthus annuus (common sunflower)
Lineage: Eukaryota; Viridiplantae; Streptophyta; Magnoliopsida; Asterales; Asteraceae
Description: hypothetical non coding rna
Source: RNAcentral